GGCAGGGUGGCUAGGAAUGGCUCUAGUAGAAUUCUCCCCUUAUCUUGUCUGGAAACAAGGGGCAAAGAGCUAUCUAUUUCCUCCUGCCAGCCUCCUGCCCCCAACAGGAUUCCUCACAUCCCAGGACCAGCUGGAAAAGGUGGUGAGAGUUGGAAAGAGACUGCUCAGUGAGGACUGCCCUGCGAACCAGCUUGGAUUCAUCCCGUUCACCUCCACGUUCUGCACGCGGGGCCGAGGGAAGGGAGGCAGCCCAGGCAGCUAGAGAACUUGAUGAAACACACUCAAUCUGAAUCUCGCUUGAUCGUCAUGCUGACCCAGUGAGUCUACUCAGGGUCAGGCAUCCUUUCCGACUACUCGCUCAGCAGCGGAUCCCCACCCGCCUCUGACUCCCAGUGUCUUUCGGCUCCAACGUAAGUUCACCGAACGUCUAAGAGCUGAGGAUUCAAAGGCAUGUUAAGACCGCCCCUGCCCUCAGCUGCAAGACCUGUCCGCGAUCCUACGAGCCCCAUUCCGCCCUCUUUCCCCGACCUUGGUCCCCCAUGGGCCCUACAACCAGGUCCCCGACUGACACCUUGACCAGCGAACACAGCAAACAGGCCCGCAGAUGCCGCAGGUCCUUCGGCACCGUCUCCAGGGCCAUCUUCGCCGAUGGGAAGAACAACAGGGAGCUAGACGACCACAGCCUGUGCACCCGCAGGAAGUAAAUAGCUCGUUACCCAGAAUGCCCACCACUUCCGGCGCUUAGACUUCCUCUUCCGGUGUGGGCGGGCGCCAGCUCCGCCCCUACCCCCGCCAGAGGAGAUGGUUUCUCCCACCGGCAGGCGGGGAGGCUGGGCGGCCGGCCGCCACCUGGGCCGGGGCGCGUCGCAGCCACCUGAGCCCGCCGAGGGCGCGGCGGAGGCUGUGUAGGGUAGUCAGCGGGCCCCCGGGGCGGGGGGGCGGCUGCGCUUGCGCGGGAGUGUGUCGGGCUGAGCCGCAGCGCCGAGACGCGGGCUGUUUGAUCUGGGCUGGUGGCCCUGGGCGCCGGUCCUGUUCCCCGAUGGUAACCCGAAGUUUGUUUUUUUUUUGUUUUGUCUCCCCGUUUUAGAAGCAUUGGGGGCAGUGAAUCCACUGUCUCCCUCUGGAUUGUCUCUGCAGAGACCGAGAAGAAAUCCAGGGACAGCCCCACCCCUCCUUCCUAACUGCGAGAGCGCUAUAGGGUUUCCACUUGCUUCCCACAGGAAUGCUGGCCUGGGAGCUACGGCGGAAAAAAAUGCGUAUUUAUCUUUUAAAACUCCGUCUGUUUGCUCGUUCCGGCUGAUAAUUUAUACUUUGCGCAGUUCUUAGCGCUUAGACACGGUUCCUUUACUAAAGACCAUUUGUAGGAGAUUAGGUGUCCUUUUUUUCCCUUUCAUUUCACCGUCUAGGAAGCGAAAUGCCUUGUUCUAUAGGCACCAAACCACCACCCCUACCAAACCUUUCUCGGGGAAGCAGAAGGGGAACUUGUGCCUUGUGAGGAAGCGACAAAGGCCCCUUCUGGCCCUGGAGACUUCACGCCAAUGGAGCACCAGCUCUCUGUCCUCGCAAUAGCCCGAGUGCAGGCAGAACGCAGUCAUUUGUGUUUAUCUGAGAGGAGCUUUGGGAUAUAAAUAGUUUCAGGCCCCGCUGCUCUGUCAUUCCAGCCCAGCCUCCUGAUUGAGCUGCUUCCGGGCGGGCUUGCUUCUUGUUGGCGGUCCCAUGCUGUGUUCAGAUGGGCUCUGUGACAGGUUUGGAUGUUUUCUAUCACUGAAUAAAACUUUCCACUUUGGAACAUG
Molecule: non-coding RNA, 1793 nt
Filed under: Pan troglodytes (chimpanzee)
Lineage: Eukaryota; Metazoa; Chordata; Mammalia; Primates; Hominidae
Source: RNAcentral